GAGGAACUUCACACCAGCCAGUGUUCAUCAUGAAUUCUUCAGCACCACCUCCUCCAUCAUCAUCAUCAUCACCGGCAUCAACAUCUACCUCAAUCAGAGCUGGGAAACAAACCCAGCUGAACUCCUCUUCAUCCUCUCCCCCUCCUCCUCCUUUUACUCUGUCUCUCAGAAGUCCUGAGCUGCAAGCAGAGUUUCUAAGAGAGUGUCGGAACAAAUUUAAGACUCACAGCGACGACAGUGAAUCCAGCGGGGUUUCCUCCACCACCUCCCCUGUGGCCUCUCCCUCCAGC
Non-coding RNA from Neolamprologus brichardi, 290 nucleotides. NCBI's taxonomy places the organism in Eukaryota, Metazoa, Chordata, Actinopteri, Cichliformes, Cichlidae. The record is from RefSeq and is a predicted model, not a curated record.